RNAcentral lists this ribosomal RNA (700 nucleotides) under uncultured bacterium. Its description in RNAcentral is "bacterial SSU rRNA". It matches the Rfam family "Bacterial small subunit ribosomal RNA", at positions 45 to 750 of the family's 1533-position model. The record is from RNAcentral.
GGCCUAAUACAUGCAAGUCGAACGGUUGUCAGCAAUGACAAUAGUGGCGCACGGGUGCGUAACGCGUAACCAACCUACCUGAAUCUGGGGGAUGGCCCGCCGAAAGGCGGAUUAAUACCGCAUAAAACUGCAAUUCGGCAUCGGACAACAGUUAAAGAUUUAUUGGAUUCAGAUGGGGUUGCGUGCCAUUAGCUAGUUGGAGAGGUAACGGCUCACCAAGGCGACGAUGGCUAGGGGAGCUGAGAGGCUGGUCCCCCACACGGGCACUGAGAUACGGGCCCGACUCCUACGGGAGGCAGCAGUAGGGAAUAUUGGGCAAUGGUCGAGAGACUGACCCAGCCAUGCCGCGUGCAGGAUGAAGGCUUUCUGAGUCGUAAACUGCUUUUACCAGGGAAGAAAAAAGGGGAUGCGUCCUCUACUGACGGUACCUGGUGAAUAAGCACCGGCUAACUCCGUGCCAGCAGCCGCGGUAAUACGGAGGGUGCAAGCGUUGUCCGGAUUUAUUGGGUUUAAAGGGUGCGUAGGCGGCUGAUUAAGUCUGGGGUGAAAGCCCGUUGCUCAACAACGGAACUGCCCUGGAAACUGGUUAGCUUGAGUACAGACGAGGGUGGCGGAAUGGAUACUGUAGCGGUGAAAUGCAUAGAUAGUAUCCAGAACCCCGAUUGCGAAGGCAGCUGCCUAGACUGUAACUGACGCUGAG